UGGGGAAUAUUGGACAAUGGGCGAAAGCCUGAUCCAGCCAUGCCGCGUGUGUGAAGAAGGUCUUCGGAUUGUAAAGCACUUUAAGUUGGGAGGAAGGGCAGUAAGCGAAUACCUUGCUGUUUUGACGUUACCGACAGAAUAAGCACCUGCUCACUCUGUGCCAGCAGCCGCGGUAAUACAGAGGGUGCAAGCGUUAAUCGGAAUUACUGGGGGUAAAGCGCGCGUAGGUGGUUCGUUAAGUUGAAUGUGAAAGCCCCGGGCUCAAACUGGGAACUGCAACCAAAACUGGCGAGCUAGAGUAGGGCAGAGGGGGGUGGAAUUUCCUGUGUAGCGGUGAAAUGAGUAGAUAUAGGAAGGAACACCAGUGGCGAAGGCGACCACCUGGGCUCAUACUGACACUGAGGUGCGAAAGCGUGGGGAGCAAACAGG
Molecule: ribosomal RNA, 429 nt
Filed under: Pseudomonadota bacterium
Lineage: Bacteria; Pseudomonadati; Pseudomonadota
Description: Proteobacteria bacterium partial 16S ribosomal RNA
Rfam family: Bacterial small subunit ribosomal RNA
Source: RNAcentral